UCAGCAGCCGCGGUAAUACGGAGGGGGCAAGCGUUGUUCGGAUUUACUGGGCGUAAAGGGUGUGUAGGCGGCCGCGCAAGUCUGGUGUGAAAUCUUCACCGCUCAACGGGAAGAGGGCACUGGAAACUGCGCGGCUCGAGUAUGGUAGAGGCAAGCGGAAUUCCUGGUGUAGCGGUGGAAUGUGUAGAGAUCAGGAAGAACACCGGUGGCGAAGGCGGCUUGCUGGGCCAUUACUGACGCUGAGACACGAAAGCGUGGGGAGCAAACGGGAUUAGAUACCCCGGUAGUCCACGCGGUAAACGGUGCGCACUAGGUGUGAGGGGUAUCGACCCCCCUUGUGCCGCAGCAAACGCAUUAAGUGCGCCGCCUGGGGAGUACGGCCGCAAGGUUGAAACUUAAAGGAAUUGGCGGGGGA
Molecule: ribosomal RNA, 415 nt
Filed under: uncultured bacterium
Lineage: Bacteria
Description: bacterial SSU rRNA
Rfam family: Bacterial small subunit ribosomal RNA
Source: RNAcentral